CUACGGGGUGCAGCAGUGGGGAAUAUUGGACAAUGGAGGCAACUCUGAUCCAGCCAUGCCGCGUGAGUGAUGAAGGCCUUAGGGUUGUAAAGCUCUUUCGCCGGUGAAGAUGAUGACUGUAGCCGGUAAAGAAGCCCCGGCUAACUUCGUGCCAGCAGCCGCGGUAAUACGAAGGGGGCUAGCGUUGUUCGGAAUUACUGGGCGUAAAGCGCGCGUAGGCGGCUUGAUCAGUCAGAGGUGAAAUCCCAGGGCUCAACCCUGGAACUGCCUUUGAUACUGUCAAGCUAGAGCUCGGAAGAGGGUGGCGGAAUAUCCAGUGUAGAGGUGAAAUUCGGAGAUAUUGGAUAGAACACCAGUGGCGAAGGCGGCCACCUGGUCCGUAGCUGACGCUGAGGUGCGAAAGCGUGGGGAGCAAACAGGAUUAGAUACCCCCGUAGUC
RNAcentral lists this ribosomal RNA (439 nucleotides) under uncultured bacterium. RNAcentral describes it as "partial 16S ribosomal RNA". It matches the Rfam family "Bacterial small subunit ribosomal RNA", at positions 339 to 795 of the family's 1533-position model. The record is from RNAcentral.